RNAcentral lists this ribosomal RNA (254 nucleotides) under uncultured bacterium. Its description in RNAcentral is "partial 16S ribosomal RNA". It matches the Rfam family "Bacterial small subunit ribosomal RNA", at positions 524 to 776 of the family's 1533-position model. The record is from RNAcentral.
UACGAAGGGGGCUAGCGUUGCUCGGAAUUACUGGGCGUAAAGGGCGCGUAGGCGGCACUGUUAGUCAGGCGUGAAAGUCCUGGGCUCAACCUGGGAACUGCGCUUGAUACGGCAGAGCUAGAGGAUGGAAGAGGCUCGCGGAAUUCCCAGUGUAGAGGUGAAAUUCGUAGAUAUUGGGAAGAACACCGGUGGCGAAGGCGGCGAGCUGGUCCAUUACUGACGCUGAGGCGCGACAGCGUGGGGGAGCAAACAGG